This is a long non-coding RNA of Aedes albopictus (Asian tiger mosquito), 2653 nucleotides long. RefSeq lists it as uncharacterized. The record is from RefSeq and is a predicted model, not a curated record. NCBI's taxonomy places the organism in Eukaryota, Metazoa, Arthropoda, Insecta, Diptera, Culicidae. The transcript has 4 exons.
GGGUGCGGAUCUGAUCAUGUGUACCGGAGGGUUCUUCGUAAAGAAAAAUUGCCAGAUCAUUUUGAAGCUACUGUAGGAACUUGUGUUUGAUGCUGCUGGUAGUGGCGGUGAUCCGACCAGGUUGAAACGCUAUUGUCAAGGUUCGUUUUCAGGUAAACGCUGACGUGAUGUAUACAUUCUGGCUAAAUCCUACGGAAAAGUGUCUAUUGUAAAGCCACCUUCCAGUCGCAGUCGGCGAUAUAUAGUUUGUCAUAAUCCGUUGCAACAGGGAGACACCACAGACGAAUUUAUACAGACGUAAGAGUGCGGUGCAAACCACUUAAAAUUUUCGGUACCAUGUUUUCUUCUUCUUGUUGGGCAGAUUUUUUUCGAGGGGACUAGUUAUUACCAUUUUGCGGUUGUUUUAUACGCAUUGGUGUACCCCUUUCACAAGAUUUUGACAGUUUUUCGCCGCCUUCGCCGGCUUUCGCCCGUGCUUUCGUCGCACCAAAAAUUUUCUCGUUUUGUUUACUUUUCGAUGGUGCGCGGUCAAAUUGUACAUACCGGUUGUGAACAUUCCGGAAAAUUCGGUUCCUAGCCGGUGGUAUCACAAAGAAGCUAUUUCCGGGCUAUGGAAAAAGUGUACCCCGGCUGAAGGCGCUCUAAAAAACUAAUGAAAAAAGAACGAGUGCGACUGCAAAGCGAUCGAACCGAGCCGGGCUGUAUCGACCGUGCUCUGCUGGCGGAGUGCAAUCAGUAACUGAUUGUGUCACAGAAGGACAUCCGGCAUGGAGAGCUCGUGGUCGACAAAGAGAACUGAAAGCACGAAGUGCUCAGAAGGACGGGGACUACGGUGGAUUCCGAGCUGACAAUCGGUGCUUCAACAGGUUAGCGUUGCACAGUCAGUCGGGUUUUUGGAAUCAAGGACAUCAAAGCAGCUAGGAGCUAACCUUCUACUAUAAUUUCGGAAGCAAAGGUAACAAAAAGAGGAUCUGCCACUGUAAUGUGAGCAAAUAAUCCGGCUUUAUCGGGAAUUAUUACCUUCCUCCGCUGGAAGAUUCUUCAGUCACAUGUCGGGGCAAAAAAACAAAGGAUCGAAGCGUAAAAAAUCGCAGAAAAUCGUCUGGCAGCGGAAAACUGCCAUUGAAAGGGCUUCGAAGGAUGACACUACAAGAUAGUAAAAUCAGAUGGCGGAAAUCGGUGGUGGUGGAACCAGUGGUAGGUGAUGGCGUGAUGGGAUCACCGUUUAGCUCAAACCACCAGUAACAACGAAUGUGAUCUACGAGAGUGUGACUAUUGAGGUGAGCUUGGCUGCUACGGAGAAUACCCUAAAGGUGGACGAUUAUUCCGGGUUGAAAGAAAAACAUAAGCCCUGUUCAACGACGUAGGUUGAACUUGCUCGAAGUUGCUGCAUCCUACUCUUACCCAUUUGUCAACAAACGGGAAAGAGCGGGAUGGAGCAAGUUCGAGUAAGUUAAACCUACGUCGUCGAACAGGACUAUAGUCGCCGAACAAGAGUGGUAGCAAGCGGACAUGAAAGUUGUCCAUCGUUUUGAGUGGGAUUCAUCUCGUAUGGGAUAACCCGCGUAGGAGUGGUUUUUUUCAUUGUUUAAUCCUUUAACGACGUAAACAAAAUGAUGGAAUUUGGCAAAGCACAUAGACGAUCCGAAUCAGAUCGGGCUUUCUCUGGAUUACACACGGUAAGAUAUUCCGGAAAAGCUUAAUGUAAUUGAAUUUAUGUUCACGCUCCUGCUAUGCCUCUUUCCAGGAGUAUCGAAUAAAACUUCAAAAUUGCGAAAUUUACAUCGAAUUUAAUUUCAUUUACUCGAAAAAUUCAAUUGCGUACAAACGCGGUCGUAACUAAUCACUCGACCUCUGCGUAACCCGUCACUCGCAUUUGGCUAACUUUUCAGAGCUUUACAGUUGGUCUUCGGUAGGUCCCAGAAUAUGUCUUCACAUCAAUAACUCUCACGACGCCAUCAUCACACUGCUGAAUUAUACCCAUUGGCCAACUUCCUCGUUCGGUGAGCAUGUCGGUUACGUAAACGAUAUCUCCAGACUGUAACAUGGAUUGUUGGUCUGCCCACUUCUGCAUGGGAAUCAAACCAGGCAAGUAUUCCUUAAGCCAUCUGAUCCAAAACAAAUCGAUAAGUGCUUGAGUCUUCGGCAUUGCUUUCCCUAAUGGAGGUCAUGUUUAUCAAAUACUGAUUUGGGGUUAAAGUUUCAGGGUCGUUCACAUCCGUUGAAACAUACGUUAACGGUCUGCUGUUAACAAUAUGUUCAGCUUCAAGCAAUACAGUAUGCAAAACUUCUUGUCGUGGUACUCGUUCUUUAAGUUUAUCGUGAAGUGGACCGGAUGCUUCUAGUCAACCGCUCCCAUAUGGCUUGCUGUGGGAGGGUUGAGUUUCCAUUUGAUCCCUUGGAGCAAAACUUCAUUCUCAAUACAUAUCCAAAAAACUUGUAUGCUUCAAAGCCUCGCGUAACUCUUCAUCAGCUCCUCGCAGGUUCGUUCCAUUAUCAGAGCAUAUUUCUUUGGGUUUGCGUCGUCUUCCAAUCAUGGGGCGUAGAGCCAAGAUGCUCGAAUCUGUGGUUAAAGAAUGUGCCAUCUCGACUCGACGUAUAUGGCUCGAGUCGUCAUACACGUAAAUAUCACGCCAUACCGCUUCUCUCUGUA